Molecule: transfer RNA, 67 nt
Filed under: Pteronarcella badia
Lineage: Eukaryota; Metazoa; Arthropoda; Insecta; Plecoptera; Pteronarcyidae
Description: tRNA-Ile
Source: RNAcentral
AAUGGAGUGCCUGAUUAAAGGAUUAUCUUGAUAGGGUAAAGCAAGUAAAUUAUAUUUACCUUCAUUA